RNAcentral lists this long non-coding RNA (857 nucleotides) under Gossypium barbadense (sea-island cotton). Its description in RNAcentral is "long non-coding RNA (GBAR_LNC015810)". The record is from RNAcentral. Lineage: Eukaryota; Viridiplantae; Streptophyta; Magnoliopsida; Malvales; Malvaceae.
AACACUUAGCCUUUCUUUUGUUUCUCUCCAGCCUCUCAUUGGUCCGGCGACGCCCACGGCGAUCAUUGGUCGCCGACGACGAGCUCUGUCGUUCCCGGUGGCCUAAAAACAAAAAAUAGCCCUUUUUGGCCUUUCGACUCCCCAAACCCAGAUCUAGGGUUGAUUUAAAAAAAGUCAAAAUCGCAAAAAAAAAAGAACCCUUCGGUUUCUUUAUACAACCGUCGCGUACGAUCGUUCUGCAGAACCCCAAAUCGGACCUUAAUGGAUUCUGGGUUUUUGGUGCCGGAGAAGACCUCUGACGACGAUAGAAGGCAAAACGACAGGUAAAGUUCUAAUUUUUAUUUGUUAUUUUUUUUAGUUCGAAAAUAAAAAUAAAAAUAAAAUGCUACCUUUUUUUUCUUUUGAAACUUGAUACUUCUUUUUUUUUCUCUGUAUAUUUUCGUCUGUAAAAAAUUACAAUCUGGUUAUGGCUUUUAUAUCCCUAGAUUACACUGUUUAUUAUUUUUUUGCUAUUGUUUCUACUAAUUCUGCUUUCGUUUGUGUUGUCCUUGUUUCUGUCCCUUUCUAUCCUUUUUGCAGGUAUGCGCUUGGUCAACGGAGGAGAGAAAGGCAAGCCUUUUGCUACUUUGGUGAAACGGCAGUAGAAAAGGUGCGUCAGACCUCGGGACGAGGUGCCUCGGACGGCGCCAGUGGAGCAGCGCCAGAAACCCUAGGGUUCCUAGCUAUUCUGAAAAUUUUUAAAUGUAACAGUUCGAUUUCGACCCUAAUCGGACAUAAUAGUUUCGGGACCACAAAUUUGAGUCAAAAAAUAUUUUAAUAUUGUUUUAUGUGUUUAUUAUGUGUGAAUUUGAUUGAGU